Molecule: non-coding RNA, 136 nt
Organism: Brachypodium distachyon (stiff brome)
Lineage: Eukaryota; Viridiplantae; Streptophyta; Magnoliopsida; Poales; Poaceae
Source: Rfam
UUAUUACUCCCUCCGUCCAACAAAGAAUGUCUCAACUUUAACUAAAUUUGAAUGCGUCUAUACACUAAAUCAUGUCUAGAUACAUUCAAAUUUUCACAAACUUGAGACAUCUUUUGUUGGACGGAGGGAGUAUACA